This 382-nucleotide long non-coding RNA is filed under the name Calidris pygmaea (Spoon-billed sandpiper). RNAcentral's name for it is "lncRNA (ENSCPGG00000009470.1)". Lineage: Eukaryota; Metazoa; Chordata; Aves; Charadriiformes; Scolopacidae. The record is from RNAcentral.
AAUGUCAUCAACAGCCACCACCACAACCACAAGUUAAAUGUCUGGGCUUCCAUCAAGGUACUCAGCCUCGGUGAAGGUGUAAUCCCUGCCCAUGGGAUGAAGGUGUAAUCCCUGCCCAUGGGACAGUGCAGAUCUGGUUUCUCUCCAGCGCUGGGGAUUGUCCUGCACCAGGAAAGAAUCUACAAAGCAAACCAGUUGGUGGUGAGGGAAUGCUUGCAGCUUUACAUACUGCUUUGAAUAGCUGAUCAGAGGAAAAAGAGGAAGUAAAAACACCUAAUGGCUACUCUAUUGCCCUGCUAACUAUCUGCUGCUGAUGCCUUGCUUGCUUGCAAAUCUGGGCCAAAAAUAAUAAUGAACAAAAUAAAGCAGCAGAUAAAAAGCA